RNAcentral lists this ribosomal RNA (509 nucleotides) under uncultured bacterium. Its description in RNAcentral is "bacterial SSU rRNA". It matches the Rfam family "Bacterial small subunit ribosomal RNA", at positions 37 to 518 of the family's 1533-position model. The record is from RNAcentral.
UGGCGGCGUGCCUAAUACAUGCAAGUCGAACGGUCUUUCUAUGGAAGCUUGCUUCCACUGAGAAGAUAGUGGCGAACGGGUGAGUAACACGUGGGUAACCUGCCCAUAAGAGGGGGGAUAACAUCCGGAAACGGGUGCUAAUACCGCAUAGUUUUCUUGAUUGCAUGAUCGGGAAAGGAAAGACGGCCUUUGUGCUGUCGCUUAUGGAUGGACCCGCGGCGUAUUAGUUAGUUGGUGAGGUAACGGCUCACCAAGACGAUGAUACGUAGCCGACCUGAGAGGGUGAUCGGCCACAUUGGGACUGAGACACGGCCCAAACUCCUACGGGGGGCAGCAGUAGGGAAUCUUCCGCAAUGGACGAAAGUCUGACGGAGCAACGCCGCGUGAGUGAAGAAAGGUUUUCGGAUCGUAAAACUCUGUUGUCAGAGAAGAACAAGUUGGAGAGUAACUGCUCCAGCCUUGACGGUAUCUGACCAGAAAGCCACGGCUAACUACGUGCCAGCAGCCGC